Molecule: ribosomal RNA, 649 nt
Filed under: uncultured bacterium
Lineage: Bacteria
Description: bacterial SSU rRNA
Rfam family: Bacterial small subunit ribosomal RNA
Source: RNAcentral
GAUCCUUUAGUGGCGCAGCCAACGCGAUAAGUUGACCGCCUGGGGAGUACGGCCGCAAGGUUAAAACUCAAAUGAAUUGACGGGGGCCCGCACAAGCGGUGGAGCAUGUGGUGUAAUUCGAAGCAACGCGAAGAACCUUACCUACUCUUGACAUCCAGAGAACAUUCCAGAGAUGGGAUGGUGCCUUCGGGAACUCUGAGACAGGUGCUGCAUGGCUGUCGUCAGCUCGUGUUGUGAAAUGUUGGGUUAAGUCCCGUAACGAGCGCAACCCUUAUCCUUAUUUGCCAGCGAGUGAAGUCGGGAACUCUAAGGAGACUGCCGGUGACAAACCGGAGGAAGGUGGGGAUGACGUCAAGUCAUCAUGGCCCUUACGAGUAGGGCUACACACGUGCUACAAUGGCCGGUACAGAGGGCCGCGAACCCGCGAGGGAGAGCCAAUCUCAGAAAACCGGUCGUAGUCCGGAUCGCAGUCUGCAACUCGACUGCGUGAAGUCGGAAUCGCUAGUAAUCGCGAAUCAGAAUGUCGCGGUGAAUACGUUCCCGGGCCUUGUACACACCGCCCGUCACACCAUGGGAGUGGGUUGCACCAGAAGUGGCUAGUCUAACCUUCGGGGGGGCGGUCACCACGGUGUGAUUCAUGACUGGGGUG